CGAUCGGGUGGUCCCUUGUGGGAUUGGGACCAAGAAUGGAUCGUUCCCGCCUCUCUCGGGUGGCUCUGCCGCUGUGGCCCGACAGCGUGCAGG
Non-coding RNA from Roseovarius atlanticus, 93 nucleotides. Lineage: Bacteria; Pseudomonadati; Pseudomonadota; Alphaproteobacteria; Rhodobacterales; Roseobacteraceae. The record is from Rfam.